Non-coding RNA from Aedes albopictus (Asian tiger mosquito), 74 nucleotides. Lineage: Eukaryota; Metazoa; Arthropoda; Insecta; Diptera; Culicidae. The record is from Rfam.
UGUUCUGUGGCUUAGUUGGUUAAAGCGCCGGUCUAGCGAAUACGAAGUCGUGGGUUCGAAUCCCACCAGAACGC